UCCGUGUUAACCACGGCAGUCUCCCUAGAGUGCCCAACUUAAUGAUGGCAACUAAGGACAGGGGUUGCGCUCGUUGCUGGACUUAACCAAACAUGUCACCACACGAGCUGACGACAGCCAUGCAGCACCUGUCUCCCGGUUGUAUUGCUACAAAAGCCGUAUUUCUACGGUUGUCCGAGGAUGUCAAACCUAGGUAAGGUUCUUCGCGUUGCUUCGAAUUAAACCACAUGAUCCACCGCUUGUGCGGGCCCCCGUCAAUUCCUUUGAGUUUUAGUCUUGCGACCGUACUUCCCAGGCGGGGUACUUAUCGCGUUAGCUUCGAUUCGGCGGGGGUCAAGUCCUACCAAAUCUAGUACCCAUCGUUUACAGCGUGGACUAC
RNAcentral lists this unclassified non-coding RNA (379 nucleotides) under uncultured Oligoflexales bacterium. RNAcentral's name for it is "contains 16S-23S intergenic spacer region". The record is from RNAcentral. Lineage: Bacteria; Pseudomonadati; Bdellovibrionota; Oligoflexia; Oligoflexales.